Molecule: ribosomal RNA, 468 nt
Filed under: uncultured bacterium
Lineage: Bacteria
Description: partial 16S ribosomal RNA
Rfam family: Bacterial small subunit ribosomal RNA
Source: RNAcentral
GACGAACGCUGGCGGCGUGCUUAACACAUGCAAGUCGAACGGAAAGGCCCUGCUUUUGUGGGGUGCUCGAGUGGCGAACGGGUGAGUAACACGUGAGUAACCUGCCCUUGACUUUGGGAUAACUUCAGGAAACUGGGGCUAAUACCGGAUAUGAGCUCCUGCUGCAUGGUGGGGGUUGGAAAGUUUCGGCGGUUGGGGAUGGACUCGCGGCUUAUCAGCUUGUUGGUGGGGUAGUGGCUUACCAAGGCUUUGACGGGUAGCCGGCCUGAGAGGGUGACCGGACACAUUGGGACUGAGAUACGGCCCAGAAUCCUACGGGAGGCAGCAGUGGGGAAUAUUGCACAAUGGGCGGAAGCCUGAUGCAGCAACGCCGCGUGCGGGAUGACGGCCUUCGGGUUGUAAACCGCUUUCGCCUGUGACGAAGCGUGAGUGACGGUAAUGGGUAAAGAAGCACCGGCUAACUACGUG